RNAcentral lists this ribosomal RNA (428 nucleotides) under uncultured bacterium. RNAcentral describes it as "bacterial SSU rRNA". It matches the Rfam family "Bacterial small subunit ribosomal RNA", at positions 355 to 776 of the family's 1533-position model. The record is from RNAcentral.
UGGGGAAUCUUGCGCAAUGGGCGGAAGCCUGACGCAGCAACGCCGCGUGUGGGAAGACGGCCUUCGGGUUGUAAACCACUUUCAGGGGGGACGAAGCUUCCGAGGUUAAUAGCCUACGGGGUGACGGUACCCCCAGAAGAAGCCCCGGCUAACUACGUGCCAGCAGCCGCGGUAAUACGUAGGGGGCGAGCGUUGUCCGGAAUCAUUGGGCGUAAAGCGCGUGUAGGCGGCUCAGUCAGUCUGGUGUGAAACCUUGGGGCUCAACCCCAAGCCUGCACUGGAUACUGCUGAGCUUGAGUCCGGGAGGGGAGAGCGGAAUUCCUAGUGUAGCGGUGAAAUGCGCAGAUAUUAGGAAGAACACCGGUGGCGAAGGCGGCUCUCUGGAACGGUACUGACGCUGAGACGCGAAAGCGUGGGGAGCGAACAGG